Molecule: ribosomal RNA, 431 nt
Filed under: uncultured bacterium
Lineage: Bacteria
Description: partial 16S ribosomal RNA
Rfam family: Bacterial small subunit ribosomal RNA
Source: RNAcentral
AGCGAACGCUGGCGGCAGGCCUAACACAUGCAAGUCGAACGAACUCUUCGGAGUUAGUGGCGGACGGGUGAGUAACACGUGGGAACGUGCCUUUUGGUUCGGAAUAACUCAGGGAAACUUGUGCUAAUACCGAAUGUGCCCUUCGGGGGAAAGAUUUAUCGCCAUUAGAGCGGCCCGCGUCUGAUUAGCUAGUUGGUGAGGUAACGGCUCACCAAGGCGACGAUCAGUAGCUGGUCUGAGAGGAUGACCAGCCACACUGGGACUGAGACACGGCCCAGACUCCUACGGGAGGCAGCAGUGGGGAAUCUUGCGCAAUGGGCGAAAGCCUGACGCAGCCAUGCCGCGUGAAUGAUGAAGGUCUUAGGAUUGUAAAAUUCUUUCACCGGGGACGAUAAUGACGGUACCCGGAGAAGAAGCCCCGGCUAACGUCG